ACGCUCGACACCUACGGAAGGCAGCAGUGGGGAAUAUUGCACAAUGGGGGAAACCCUGAUGCAGCGACGCCGCGUGGAGGAAGAAGGUCUUCGGAUUGUAAACUCCUGUUGUUGGGGAAAAAGAGGAUGGUACCCAACAAGGAAGUGACGGCUAACUACGUGCAGCAGCCGCGGUAAUCUGAGCGGGCUGGCAAGGC
Molecule: ribosomal RNA, 197 nt
Filed under: uncultured bacterium
Lineage: Bacteria
Description: partial 16S ribosomal RNA
Rfam family: Bacterial small subunit ribosomal RNA
Source: RNAcentral